RNAcentral lists this ribosomal RNA (452 nucleotides) under uncultured bacterium. RNAcentral describes it as "bacterial SSU rRNA". It matches the Rfam family "Bacterial small subunit ribosomal RNA", at positions 29 to 526 of the family's 1533-position model. The record is from RNAcentral.
AGCGAACGCUGGCGGCAGGCCUAACACAUGCAAGUCGAACGAACUCUUCGGAGUUAGUGGCGGACGGGUGAGUAACACGUGGGAACGUGCCUUUAGGUUCGGAAUAACUCAGGGAAACUUGUGCUAAUACCGAAUGUGCCCUCCGGGGGAAAGAUUUAUCGCCUUUAGAGCGGCCCGCGUCGGAUGAGCUAGUUGGUGAGAUAAAGGCUCACCAAGGCGCCGAUCAGUAGCUGGUCUGAGAGGAUGAUCCGCCACAUUGGGCCUGAGACACGGCCCAAACUCCUACGGGAGGCAGCAGGGGGGAAUCUUGCGCAAUGGGCGAAAGCCUGACGCAGCCAUGCCGCGUGAAUGAUGAAGGUCUUAGGAUUGUAAAAUUCUUUGACCGGGGACGAUAAUGACGGUACCCGGAGAAGAAGCCCCGGCUAACUUCGUGCCAGCCGCCGCAGUAACAC